AUUGAACGCUGGCGGCAGGCCUAACACAUGCAAGUCGAGCGGUAGAGAGAAGCUUGCUUCUCUUGAGAGCGGCGGACGGGUGAGUAAUGCCUAGGAAUCUGCCUGGUAGUGGGGGAUAACGUUCGGAAACGAACGCUAAUACCGCAUACGUCCUACGGGAGAAAGCAGGGGACCUUCGGGCCUUGCGCUAUCAGAUGCGCCUAGGUCGGAUUAGCUAGUUGGUGAGGUAAUGGCUCACCAAGGCGACGAUCCGUAACUGGUCUGAGAGGAUGAUCAGUCACACUGGAACUGAGACACGGUCCAGACUCCUACGGGAGGCAGCAGUGGGGAAUAUUGGACAAUGGGCGAAAGCCUGAUCCAGCCAUGCCGCGUGUGUGAAGAAGGUCUUCGGAUUGUAAAGCACUUUAAGUUGGGAGGAAGGGCAGUUACCUAAUACGUGAUUGUUUUUGACGUUACCGACAGAAUAAG
This 468-nucleotide ribosomal RNA is filed under the name uncultured bacterium. Its description in RNAcentral is "bacterial SSU rRNA". It matches the Rfam family "Bacterial small subunit ribosomal RNA", at positions 30 to 490 of the family's 1533-position model. The record is from RNAcentral.